This 468-nucleotide ribosomal RNA is filed under the name uncultured bacterium. RNAcentral describes it as "partial 16S ribosomal RNA". It matches the Rfam family "Bacterial small subunit ribosomal RNA", at positions 28 to 507 of the family's 1533-position model. The record is from RNAcentral.
GACGAACGCUGGCGGCGUGCUUAACACAUGCAAGUCGAACGGAAAGGCCCUGCUUUUGUGGGGUGCUCGAGUGGCGAACGGGUGAGUAACACGUGAGUAACCUGCCCUUGACUUUGGGAUAACUUCAGGAAACUGGGGCUAAUACCGGAUAGGAGCUCCUGCUGCAUGGUGGGGGUUGGAAAGUUUCGGCGGUUGGGGAUGGACUCGCGGCUUAUCAGCUUGUUGGUGGGGUAGUGGCUUACCAAGGCUUUGACGGGUAGCCGGCCUGAGAGGGUGACCGGCCACAAUGGGACUGAGGUACGGCCCAGACUCCUACGGGAGGCAGCAGUGGGGAAUAUUGCACAAUGGGCGGAAGCCUGAUACAGCAACGCCGCGUUCGGGAUGACGGCCUUCGGGUUGUAAACCGCUUUCGCCUGUGACGAAGCGUGAGUGACGGUAAUGGGUAAAGAAGCACCGGCUAACUACGUG